Molecule: non-coding RNA, 1437 nt
Organism: Rattus norvegicus (Norway rat)
Lineage: Eukaryota; Metazoa; Chordata; Mammalia; Rodentia; Muridae
Source: RefSeq, a predicted model, not a curated record
AGUUGAAGCUCAUGUCCUCUUGAUUUGGCCUGCAACAUGGCUUUCAACUUAGCCAUUUAUUUACAGUCUAAAACCCACUGGUGGCUUCUUUAACGCCCCACGAAAGGGGUGUACCAACACCAGAGAUGUUGUAACCUCAGCUCAUGGAAUAUAUGGUGCAAGCUCCGAUCCCAUCUUCCAGAUCCCCAAUCUGUUUGCUCUAUUGUCCUCAGAUAGAGGGCACAUCAAAUAUUAAACUGGUUCUUAAGACGCAGCUUAAUCGGUCAGAACAAGGACUUACCCACGUUCCCAGCCAGCAGUAUCCUGCAGCACGAGUCCGUGUACAGUGUCGUCAGCGAAAUGGCAGAGUGCUUCGUGAAGGGCAGCAUGUCUUUCAGAAGCUUCCCCUGAACAAGGCACAAGGUAAACAAGGCUCCUAUGACAAUAAGUUCUAUAAAAUCCCAAGAUUAAAGUUGAAUUUCACUCUACUUAAGACACUUCAAUUUUUAUCUCUACUACUAACAGGAUUUUCUCAUCUGUACUAAAAAUAACUUGAUGCUAUCCAUGAAGACUUAUUACUUUGAAAUGAAGAGUAUGGGUAACUGCUAGCUGAUUGUUAUCCAUUUCCUCUUUUCCUUGUGUUUUCCAUGGGACUUUUCAUGCAAUUCCUUGUGCGGGAUUUCAAAUAGAUACUUUCUCCUUACACAAACAUUCCCUUCAAAGUCAAAUACAACUGCAGGGUGACAUAGACAUACUUACCUGCUAGGAAAACAUACCUGAUUAUUGAAGCAACAAAGGAUUGCAAAAGGUUCGAACCAAUAUAAACUAUUUUGAGUGGUAUAAGCUAGCCUUUGGAAGGACUUCCAUAGCAUGAUCUCAUUGGAAAAUCAACAGCUGUUCUCUAAGACUCCUUGGAUAUUGUCUCUUCUGCUUCUCUGUUUUCUUCACCACAGAUAAAAGGCAUUUCAUUCCAAGAUCAUCUGGGAGACAGUUUGUGUUUUCAAACCUCAGGACUCAUUACAAAGCUAGAACCUGUGGGCAGACUGGCACGGAGCUAGUGGACAGCUUUGUGUUCUUGGGUCUUGGAGUGGGCCACACAACACUCGCUGUCAUCUCCUGGGUCCUCUGUAGAAGACUCACCACAGUGUUCAUAUCUCCUUGGGUCUCCCAGAGUUUCAGGCUUACAAUGGCUCAUCCAAUUACAAACCCAUCUAUCUCCUGCUUUGAAUUCUUGUUCAUUUUUAACAUUUAGUGUGUGUGUGUUUGUGUGUGUGUAUGUCUCUCUCUCUGUAUGUCUGUGUGUGAGUGUGUUUGUGUGUGUGUCUGUGUGUGUUUGUGUAUGUCUGUUUGUGUGUGUGUUUCUGUGUGUGUGUGUGUGUUUGUGUGUGUGUGUGUGUGUGUGUGUGCUGCAUAUGUGGAGCUCAGAGGACAAUGGACAACUUUGUGGAACUACUUCUC